RNAcentral lists this microRNA precursor (104 nucleotides) under Marmota monax (woodchuck). Lineage: Eukaryota; Metazoa; Chordata; Mammalia; Rodentia; Sciuridae. The record is from RNAcentral.
AUAUAAAUUGCCUGGGAAUCUCAUCAAAAUGCAGAUUGGGAUUCAGGAGGUCUGGAAUACGGCUUCAGUUCUGCAUUUUUAAUAAGUUUUCAAGUGAUAUAAAU